CAAAAACUGUCUCGGCUCCUCUAAUGUAAUGGCUAGACGGCUCGCAAAAUGGCUCCCUCAAUAGGCUCAGCUGAAGAAGGAACCCCGGGUUUUCAAGUCUUCUACACGGGUUCCGGGUUGGGCUAACAAAAAAAGGUGCAGAUUUUGGGCUAUUCAAAACACCACGUUUCAGCUUUGUAUAAAACUUCAAAAAAUUUAUUUGCGUUUGAACUUUUCCGUUCACCACUCUAGCUGACCGAAUUUUCUCUCACCCUCUCUCUAACCAAGAUGAAUCCCGGCCCAGAUUGUCAAGCUUUCCCAGAUUCCGGGACCGCUCUUCUCUGUCAGCCGUCGUCAAUCGCCGAUCACCGCCGGCCACCAGUGUUAAACUUGUACCAAAAUUCUCAUCGCGAUCCGCUCUUUCCAAUUUCCUAGCUAGAUUUCUCUGAAAACAACUAAAACUCUUUGUACCCUUCCUUAUGGUGGACUACGAUCUCCAAAACCCUAUCCACCGACGUCUGCUACCGCUAAACCGCCAUUAGUGGUGACUCAAUGGCCUUCGAAAAUCCUUAAACCCACCACCUAAACUAUUUCUCUUUCCCUCCCUACCUAAAAACAAGAGUCUCGAAAUCAGCCCACACAACCCCAAAAUACCUCAUUCCCAAAAGGCUUUUUAUUGUGAUUUAUGUUUGUGUUGUUUUGUGUUAUUGUUGUUGAUUGAGGGCUGUUGAUUUUUUAUGGUUCUCUUUGAAAGAGAAUAUAGUUUGGGUCAUUGGUCUUGGAUUUUUUCUGUUGUUUUCAUUGAAUUUUCUGCAAGUGUUCCUUUUUGAUGGUUGCUGUUUGUUUAUAAUCCAUUAGUCCAAUCCUACACAGAAAUCUUAAAUCAACAUAUUCAUAAGGAUUUCGGUUUGAAUAAAUUCAAUCCCCAAAACAAUUUUAUCUCCAAUCAUCAUCCAUUUCAACUUUUGUUUUUUUUUUUAAUUUUUGGUUUUUUUUUUUUUUUCAAAAAUAAAUUAUAAACUAAAAAAAUAAAUAAAUUAAAAAAUCAAAUAUUUGAUAGAGACUUAAGACCCAAACUAGUCCCAAAUCAAUUCAAAGCCUAAAUUGCAAAUUCAAAUUUAAAUAAACUAAUCUAAAACUCAUAUACCGUAAGAUUUUUUAUGCAAAAAUAUCUAUUAAUAAUUUUUUUUUUGAAAACAUUAUUUUUAAAUUUAUCAAAUUUUACUAUAUGGAUUUAUUUUUAUUUCUCAAAAAUUAUUAAAAUCACAAAAUUUUUCAUUAUAUUAAUAAUGUUUUAUAGUUUAUUUUUUAAAAAUUAUUUUUAAAAAAAAUUAUUAAACGUUUUAAUGUGUUGAUAAGAUUUUAUUUUAAUAUUUUAAAAAUUAACUCUCCUAUAUUUUGAUGAAAUUUUUAACAAUGUUUAUUUUUUUUUUUAUUUAAAAAAUUUAAAACAAUAAAUAUAUAAAAUAUAUAAAAAUACAAAAAAUAAAAAUAAUCUUACCAGUUCGGCUUAGUAAGUGGUGUGGCUCGGUGGCUCAACCCAGCUCGAACUGCUGGAUGCUAAAACGAGUCGGGAGUUGCGAGCACUCUAGUCGGAUUGGGCUAACGGAAGCACAUGGAUUCUCUUUUAAUAAAAGAGUGUGUUUUGGCUUCUAUAAAAGCCAAGUUUUUGCCUUACCAUUUAUUUCCCUUCUCUCUCUGAGCUAAUUUUUCUCUAACCUCAAUCUUCCCAAACUCAGAAACGAUGAACUAUAGCACUAGAUUUUGAAAAAUCUCAUCGACAACUUUAAAAUGUCGUUGAAAUUUCGUCGAAAAUACCAAAGACUUACUGAAAAACUCAAUGGAAUUUGGAGAAUUUCUGGAUUUUUUAUAAAAAAAUUUAGCAAAUCCUCCCCUCGACAGAUUUGAUCUCACAAACACUAUUAUCUACAAUUUGUCCUCAAAAUCACACUUAAAACCUUUCAAACCCGGAAAAACAAAUAAAAAAUACUCCAAAUCAGUACCCUCUUCUGGCCAAACUUUCACCCAUCUUUUUUUUAUAUUUUCACUCUCUUUUGUGUGAAUUCUCUCUGUGCAAUUGCUUUCCCCCUUAAUUGUUGCAACAACUUAGGAAUAUAUAAUAGUUGAAUCCUGAUUUAGAUAGUUAUCCAAAACAAAAAGGAGAUUGAGCUUCUAAAAAUUCAUCUAUCUUAAUCUCUAAAUUUUAUUUGAAAAAUUUUAUCAUCAAAGAAGUCCAUCUACUUUUGGAUUUUACCUAAAGAAUUGCGCAUAUCCAACAUAAUAAAAAACCCCAAUUCACUCUUGCACCAUCUUUAUCAAUGUGAGAUUUUUUUAGAAAUAGU
Molecule: long non-coding RNA, 2321 nt
Filed under: Durio zibethinus
Lineage: Eukaryota; Viridiplantae; Streptophyta; Magnoliopsida; Malvales; Malvaceae
Description: long non-coding RNA (DZIB_LNC002366)
Source: RNAcentral